CCCUUAGAUGUUCUGGGCCGCCCGCGCGCUACACUGACGAAUGCAACGAGCUUAUAACCUUGGCCGAAAGGUCUGGGUAAUCUCCAAAUUUCGUCGUGAUGGGGAUAGAUUAUUGCAAUUAUUAAUCUUCAACGAGGAAUGCCUAGUAAGCGCAAGUCAUCAGCUUGCGUUGAUUACGUCCCUGCCCUUUGUACACACCGCCCGUCGCUCCUACCGAUUGAAUGGUCCGGUGAAGCGCUCGGACCGCGGCCUCUUGACGGUUCGCUGUCGAUUGGCUGUGGGAAGUUCGUUAAACCUUAUCAUUUAGAGGAAGGAGAAGUCGUAACA
RNAcentral lists this ribosomal RNA (327 nucleotides) under uncultured eukaryote. Its description in RNAcentral is "partial 18S ribosomal RNA". It matches the Rfam family "Eukaryotic small subunit ribosomal RNA", at positions 1470 to 1796 of the family's 1831-position model. The record is from RNAcentral.